Long non-coding RNA from Drosophila biarmipes, 360 nucleotides. RefSeq lists it as uncharacterized. NCBI's taxonomy places the organism in Eukaryota, Metazoa, Arthropoda, Insecta, Diptera, Drosophilidae. The transcript is spliced from 2 exons. The record is from RefSeq and is a predicted model, not a curated record.
UCUAAAUCUCUAUUACAAUCCGAGGUGUACUUCGGGGUGUACUAAUUUAAUGCUGAAAGCAUGUAAACGGCACACCAACUGCCGCCCUGCUGCGGAGGUAGGUAGGGCGUGGCGUCUUUCUUGGAAUUGCCCUGAGUAACUCCCGUCGCCUUUGGUAUAAUUCACUGUGAAAUCUUGCGGUCAACUUGAUUUAAAUUGUGUUCUCCGGCCCUAGGGCUCCCGGGGUCAACUUGUCGGCUGGGAAGCUGUCAUUACAAAAUGUUUAAGUGUAAAGACCAUUUUUCAAGCCCCAAUAGAUUUAUGACCUUGAUUUAGAUCAUGAUCACAACACCAAUAAAUAUUUUCGUUUUUGGAGAAAAA